Molecule: long non-coding RNA, 2160 nt
Filed under: Helianthus annuus (common sunflower)
Lineage: Eukaryota; Viridiplantae; Streptophyta; Magnoliopsida; Asterales; Asteraceae
Description: hypothetical non coding rna
Source: RNAcentral
GUUCAGCCUCUUUUCUCGCCUACUCUCUCUCUUUCGAACUCUCUCUUAUUGUUAUUCUUUUUAUUUUUCCUACAAAAAUAAUAAUAAGGCUCUGCCUCGUUUUAAGUAUUAUAACUCCCAAUCAUCGCUACCCUUUCCGAUUGAUCUGAGUCCCAUAACGCAUGUCAAGGCUCUGCCCGACUAAGUUCGUUUGGAUUCUAUCUCGGGACUUCGGGACAAGGUUGAAUUAGGGGUAUUAUGCUUAACACGAGUACAUUAUAUAUUUUUAUAGCACAAAAGUUAUACCCAAAAUUUAUACCAGGAGUCCUUCUAGUUGAACCCUAAAGUUACACAGUGGGUCCAUUUCUUUUUUUCACCAUUUUAUUCUCUUUUUGUAAGUUACCCAAAACUAUUAUUUAUUAUUUAUUAUUUCUAUUUUAUAAACAAACUUUCAUCAAAAGUCAUGCCUAUUAUUUUAUUUACCCAAUAGGGAACCAUAGUUGAAACACCCAAGUAACCCUGCACAAAUCCUAAAAUUUUCAUAGCAAUCAGAAUCAAGAUCAGAGCCCCUAAAACUCAAAGGGGGCAAAACCUAGUUAACGAUUAUCUUCAUAAAAACGUUGUCUAAAUACUAUUGGCCGAAUUAUUGACUCAGCUAGCCUACUCCUAAGCGUGGCAACCCUAUGGUGAAAGGCGACCUGUCGCGCCACGCGACAGGAACAAGGGGACCCCUCGCGUGGCGCGAGGGGGACUAAAUUCCAGCUAUAAAUAAUAGAGGUUGGGACUGGCUUCUGUGCGUUGGUUCGACGAUAAAAUUCGAUUCCUACACCCAGAUAUCGUCGAAUUACUACAAUUAACACACACAAACCUCGAAACGCUGCCGCAAUCAGGGUAAUAACUCGAUCGCUAUUACGAUUCCUUUUCCGAUUAAUCAAUAUAUCCAAGGAAUGCCUAAGUGCCGCCCACAUUGGGCUAUGCUUUAUCGUUGUCGAUAAUUCGAUAAUGAGCCGAAGCAUUGUACUUUGUCGUUGUCGAUAAUUCGAUAUACGAGUUGAAGUACUAUACUUUGUCGUUUGUCAUUUUGAUAAAUGAGCUGAAGUAUUGCACUUGGACAUUCAUUGUAAAAAAUUGAUCUCGGGGAAUUAUCGUAACUGCUGUAUUGAUCAUUAACCUGGUUCUUGUAAAAUUCGUUAAGAGUUGAUUUAGGUUGUUCACCAAUACGUAUUCCAUUCUGUUAAAACCACCAAAAAUACUCCCAACUACACCCUUACAAUCAAACAAACUAUAAAAUCAUCAGAAGAUCCAGAAUAAUAAAGUGCGUGCUUAAUUAUCGGAAGAAAUAGAAUCAGGAAGUUUGUUAACUCAAUCCUGCAUGCUGAUUUGUAAUUACAGUAGAUUGGAGUAAGGAUUGGAUCCGGCACUAAAAGACUUCAAGAAGUGGCUUAUUUUCAAAUUAAGAAAUAUUGUUUUUAUUUAAAAGCUACCUUUGUAAAACAUGGAAUUUAUUCCAUCUUUUUAAAUAAAAUCCGGUGUUUCUAAACUCUGAUAUUUUUCCUAACACACGGUCCUGAUGAAAUUUCCGCUGCAAUGUUUUUUUAAAAUAAUCACCGGUACCACUGGACUGCUCACGGCACCGAUUCCGGCUAGAUGGGGUCGGGGGUCGUGACAUUAACCACAUUUAAACAUGUACUUUAUGCAACUUAUAGCAUACAAACUUCAAAAUACUUUCGUUAAUAACCAUAAAUGGAAAAAAACAACAACAUCUGCAAAUGAAACAAUAAUUUCAGAUUACUCGUGAUAAUUGAUAUUAGAUAUGUUCAACGAACUACAACUUUGCAUCCAUACGGACAUAAAAAAACUCAUCUGAAACUGAUUAAAUAAAUUAUAAUGUUAAAAACUAAAUAUAUCACAAUUUUUAUGAAAAGAGUAACUAAAAAGACAUUUAUAACAAAGAAUUUUCAGAUCAAAUAACAUGCAUAUCUGUGGAUGUAAAACAAAUAUCAAAAAGCUUGAUUAGCAUUAUGAUUGAACAAUUUAUUACAAACUUCCCGGUGAAUCGUAACAAAAUAAACGUAUAAACAGAGAGUAAGUGCGGUUAAGUUACCGAUUAGGAUAUGAUGCAACGAAGGUAUGAUCUCCCGGAACUUGAUUUUGCGUAGAACACAAUGGGUUUCUUCAAGA